Molecule: long non-coding RNA, 292 nt
Organism: Branchiostoma belcheri (Belcher's lancelet)
Lineage: Eukaryota; Metazoa; Chordata; Leptocardii; Amphioxiformes; Branchiostomatidae
Exons: 3
Source: RefSeq, a predicted model, not a curated record
AAACAAUACAAAAUGGCUGACUGGAGAAGAACAUUUUGAUUUUAUGACAGCCAAGAAAAUAACAUAAGCAAUGCCGGGAACUCUGCUAAGGAGGCCGCUCCCACCCAAGGAGCGGCAACAGCCAUCGGUGCCGAUGAUCUCACCCAGCCCCAGCCCUGACAUCUACCGUGUGCACACCCCUCCCCACCCCCUGCGCCUGUCCCCCGUCCCCAGCCUACCCAGCGUGGUGCCCAGCCUGGCGUCCGGCAUGCAGCUGUCUCAGCUCGAGGCACCACGGGAUGGCCUCCAGUCC